RNAcentral lists this ribosomal RNA (374 nucleotides) under uncultured bacterium. RNAcentral describes it as "bacterial SSU rRNA". It matches the Rfam family "Bacterial small subunit ribosomal RNA", at positions 521 to 896 of the family's 1533-position model. The record is from RNAcentral.
UAAGACGAAGGGGGCUAGCGUUGUUCGGAAUUACUGGGCGUAAAGAGCGCGUAGGCGGUCUGGUAAGUUGGGAGUGAAAGCCCGGGGCUUAACCUCGGAAUUGCUUUCAAAACUGCCUGACUAGAGUGUAGUAGGGGAUGAUGGAAUUCCUAGUGUAGAGGUGAAAUUCUUAGAUAUUAGGAGGAACACCGGUGGCGAAGGCGGUCAUCUGGGCUACAACUGACGCUGAGGCGCGAAAGCGUGGGGAGCAAACAGGAUUAGAUACCCUGGUAGUCCACGCUGUAAACGAUGAGUGCUAGGUAUCGGGAGAAUUUCUUUCGGUUCCGUAGUUAACACGUUAAGCACUCCGCCUGGGGAGUACGAUCGCAAGAUUA